RNAcentral lists this ribosomal RNA (333 nucleotides) under Triticum aestivum (bread wheat). Its description in RNAcentral is "partial small subunit ribosomal RNA". The record is from RNAcentral. Lineage: Eukaryota; Viridiplantae; Streptophyta; Magnoliopsida; Poales; Poaceae.
AUGUCAUGUAGGUGUGAGGGAUACAGAUUGUGGAGUUGCAAAUUGUUCUCUUUUUUACCUAGACUUCAGGGUAGGAUAAACUCCCUAGUUUCAUUGCCAAAACAGAACAUCGUCGCCUGUCUAGGCCAGGCACUGGUGAAUGCCUUGUUGUAUCCCUUUGUCUUUCAUGAUGAUGAGAAAUGUGUCUCUGCAGUUUUAUCGGCACUUGCAGUCACGUUCAAUGUCAUGUACGGGCUUAAAACAAACUUGCAUCUUCACCUUCAGUGUUGUGUAGUACUCCGUACUUGUUAUGAUCCAUCCGUACUAUAUUGCCAUCCAUGUCAACUGUGCUAA